RNAcentral lists this transfer RNA (87 nucleotides) under Dermacentor silvarum. Its description in RNAcentral is "transfer RNA opal suppressor (anticodon UCA)". It matches the Rfam family "Selenocysteine transfer RNA". The record is from RNAcentral. Lineage: Eukaryota; Metazoa; Arthropoda; Arachnida; Ixodida; Ixodidae.
GCCCAGAUGAACCUCGGUGGUCCGGGGUGCGGGCUUCAAACCCGUAGCUGAUUGACGUCAGAGUGGUUCGAUUCCACCUUCUGGGCG